This 440-nucleotide ribosomal RNA is filed under the name uncultured bacterium. Its description in RNAcentral is "partial 16S ribosomal RNA". It matches the Rfam family "Bacterial small subunit ribosomal RNA", at positions 338 to 795 of the family's 1533-position model. The record is from RNAcentral.
CCUACGGGAGGCAGCAGUGGGGAAUAUUGCACAAUGGGGGGAACCCUGAUGCAGCGACGCCGCGUGAGUGAAGAAGUAUUUCGGUAUGUAAAGCUCUAUCAGCAGGGAAGAAAAUGACGGUACCUGACUAAGAAGCCCCGGCUAACUACGUGCCAGCAGCCGCGGUAAUACGGAGGGGGCAAGCGUUAUCCGGAUUUACUGGGUGUAGGGGGAGCGCAGACGGCUGUGCAAGUCUGGAGUGAAUGGCGGGGGCCCAACCCCCGGACUGCUCUGGAAACUGUAAAGCUGGAGUGCAGAAGAGGUAAGCGGAAUGCCUAGUGUAGCGGUGAAAUGCGUAGAUAUUAGGAAGAACACCAGUGGCGAAGGCAGCUUACUGGACUGCAACUGACGUUGAGGCUCGAAAGCGUGGGGAGCAAACAGGAUUAGAUACCCGUGUAGUC